Molecule: ribosomal RNA, 489 nt
Filed under: uncultured Gammaproteobacteria bacterium
Lineage: Bacteria; Pseudomonadati; Pseudomonadota; Gammaproteobacteria
Description: bacterial SSU rRNA
Rfam family: Bacterial small subunit ribosomal RNA
Source: RNAcentral
GAGUUUGAUCUUGGCUCAGAUUGAACGCUGGCGGCGUGCUUAACACAUGCAAGUCGAGCGGUAACAGGCGUAGCAAUACGUGCUGACGAGCGGCGAACGGGUGAGUAAUGCUUCGGAAUCUUCCUCGUAGUGGGGAAUAACCUGGGGAAACUCAGGCUAAUACCGCAUACGAACUACGGUUGAAAGCAGGGGAUCGCAAGACCUUGCGCUAUGAGAUGAGCCGAAGUCGGAUUAGCUAGUUGGUGAGGUAAAGGCUCACCAAGGCGACGAUCCGUAGCUGGUCUGAGAGGACGACCAGCCACACUGGGACUGAGACACGGCCCAGACUCCUACGGGAGGCAGCAGUGGGGAAUAUUGGACAAUGGGGGCAACCCUGAUCCAGCGACGCCGCGUGUGUGAAGAAGGCCUGCGGGUUGUAAAGCACUUUUAGUGGGGAUGAAAAGCCGAAGGCUAAUACCUUUCGGUCUUGACCUAACCCAAAGAAAAAGC